RNAcentral lists this long non-coding RNA (251 nucleotides) under Ananas comosus (pineapple). RNAcentral's name for it is "long non-coding RNA (ACOM_LNC003152)". Lineage: Eukaryota; Viridiplantae; Streptophyta; Magnoliopsida; Poales; Bromeliaceae. The record is from RNAcentral.
AGAGCACAGGGUGGUUUUGAUGCUAUUUGGGUCAUACACGAGGGUAAGCAAUAACCAUGAGUGAAAGAAAGGAAACUAAACAACUAUAAGUACUAUGAUUCACUUUCGAUCAUAUACAUUUCAUUCAAUCAUUACAUUUUUCUUUACAGUGCUUUUCAUCAUCUCUUUUUACAUCACAUUUGCUCAAAAUGAAACAUUACAUUCCUUUCUCUCAUUUGCCUUACACAUAAACAUCUUCAAAUACAAAAAAU